UGCAAGGAACUGGGAGUAACACCUGGAAACGAGACGCGUAAUACCGGAUAGGUAACAGAGGGGCAUCCCACUGUUAUUAAGGUUAAAGACACAAGCAGAUGGGCUUACGGUGCAUUAGCUAGUUGGUGAGGUAACGGCCCACCAAGGCGAUGAUGCAUAGCCGGCCUGAGAGGGUGAACGGCCACAUUGGGACUGAGACACGGCCCAGACUCCUACGGGAGGCAGCAGUAGGGAAUUUUCGGCAAUGGGCGCAAGCCUGACCGAGCAACGCCGCGUGAAGUGAAGAAGAAUUUCGGUUCGUAAAGCUCUGUUGUAAGGGAAGAAUAACACGGAGAGAAUCCGUGCAUGACGGUACCUUACCAGAAAGCCACGGCUAACUACGUGCCAGCAGCGGC
Molecule: ribosomal RNA, 395 nt
Filed under: uncultured bacterium
Lineage: Bacteria
Description: bacterial SSU rRNA
Rfam family: Bacterial small subunit ribosomal RNA
Source: RNAcentral